GUGAGCGAGGCGGAGUAUUUGGAGGCCCAGAGACAGAGAUUGGCUGAGGUGCAGCGGAACAGGCAGAUAUUGGAGGAAGAUAUUUAUAGAAGAAAUAUCUGUGUGGAGUUCAAAGGACACAUACAAUACAACAACAACAACUGCAGAAAUGGGAGGAAAAGAGACAAAGAGAACAGAAAGCCUUGGAUCACUUGAGCCAGGAUGUGUACAAUAGCUAUA
Long non-coding RNA from Lingula anatina, 219 nucleotides. NCBI's taxonomy places the organism in Eukaryota, Metazoa, Brachiopoda, Lingulata, Lingulida, Lingulidae. The record is from RefSeq and is a predicted model, not a curated record.